AAUUUUGCGCAAUGGGCGAAAGCCUGACGCAGCAACGCCGCGUGAAUGUUAAGCCCUUCGGGGUGUAAAGUUCUGUCAGUGGGGACGAAAUUUGACGGUACCCACAAAGGAAGCACCGGCUAACUCCGUGCCAGCAGCCGCGGUAAUACGGAGGGUGCAAGCGUUGUCCGGAAUCAUUGGGCGUAAAGCGUUCGUAGGCGGUAUGUCAAGUCUGGUGUUAAAUCCCGAAGCUCAACUUCGGUUCGGCACUGGAUACUGGCAAACUUGAAUGUGGUAGAGGUAACGGGAAUUCCUGGUGUAGCGGUGAAAUGCGUAGAUAUCAGGAGGAACACCUGUGGCGAAAGCGCGUUACUGGACCAUUAUUGACGCUGAGGAACGAAAGCCAGGGGAGCAAAUGGG
This 399-nucleotide ribosomal RNA is filed under the name uncultured bacterium. RNAcentral's name for it is "bacterial SSU rRNA". It matches the Rfam family "Bacterial small subunit ribosomal RNA", at positions 360 to 776 of the family's 1533-position model. The record is from RNAcentral.